RNAcentral lists this ribosomal RNA (460 nucleotides) under uncultured bacterium. RNAcentral describes it as "partial 16S ribosomal RNA". It matches the Rfam family "Bacterial small subunit ribosomal RNA", at positions 338 to 795 of the family's 1533-position model. The record is from RNAcentral.
CCUACGGGAGGCAGCAGUGAGGAAUAUUGGUCAAUGGGCGGGAGCCUGAACCAGCCAAGUAGCGUGCAGGAUGACGGCCCUAUGGGUUGUAAACUGCUUUUAUACGGGAAUAACGCGCCUCACGUGUGGGACUUUGUAUGUACCGUAUGAAUAAGGAUCGGCUAAUUCCGUGCCAGCAGCCGCGGUAAUACGGAAGGUCCGGGCGUUAUCCGGAUUUAUUGGGUUUAAAGGGAGCGUAGGCCGAUUGUUAAGUGUGCUGUGAAAUUUUCGGGCUCAACCGGAGCCUUGCGGUGGGAACUGGGGUGCUUGAGUACGCGAAAAGCAGGCGGAAUUCGUGGUGUAGCGGUGAAAUGCUUAGAUAUGACGAAGAACCCCGAUUGCGAAGGCAGCUUGCUGCAGCGGAACUGACGCUGAUGCUCGAAAGUGCGGGUAUCGAACAGGAUUAGAUACCCUUGUAGUC